This 346-nucleotide ribosomal RNA is filed under the name Meloidogyne enterolobii. Its description in RNAcentral is "partial 16S ribosomal RNA". The record is from RNAcentral. Lineage: Eukaryota; Metazoa; Nematoda; Chromadorea; Rhabditida; Meloidogynidae.
UUAUUUUAAGAUUAUUUUUUAUUGUUGAAAAAAUUAAAAAUAAAUUGUUUUUAACAAAAAUUAAAAUUUAUAAUAUUUCAUUUUUUGGUUUUUUGUUUUAAAUUAAAAUAAUAAAUAUGGGGGAAAAAAAAAUUUUGUUAUAAAUUAUAUUAGUUUAUUUUAAUUAAAAAUAUUUUUUAUUAAAUUUGUUUUUUUUUAUUUUUUUAUAAAAAAUAUUAAUUUAAUUAUUAUUAUUGAGUUUAAUUUAGUUAUUUUUAAAAAAAUUUUGUAUAAAAUAAAUUUGAUAAUAAAUGUUUUUUAAAUUCUUUGGGGGUUUAGUUUAUGAUUUUUUGUUUCUGCUCAUUGU